UGGGGAAUAUUGGACAAUGGGCGCAAGCCUGAUCCAGCAAUGCCGCGUGUGUGAAGAAGGCCUGCGGGUUGUAAAGCACUAGCGAAGGGGAAGAAGGCUUUUAGUCGAAUAGGCUAAAAGAUUGACGGUACCCUGAUAAGAAGCACCGGCUAACUCUGUGCCAGCAGCCGCGGUAAUACAGAGGGUGCAAGCGUUAAUCGGAAUUACUGGGCGUAAAGGGCACGUAGGUGGUUAUUUAAGUCGGAUGUGAAAUCCCUGGGCUUAACCUGGGCAUUGCAUUUGAUACUGGAUAGCUAGAGUAUAGUAGAGGAGAGUGGAAUUUCCGGUGUAGCGGUGAAAUGCGUAGAUAUCGGAAGGAACACCAGUGGCGAAGGCGACUCUCUGGACUAAUACUGACACUGAGGUGCGAAAGCGUGGGUAGCGAACAGGAUUAGAUACCCCCGUAGUCC
This 449-nucleotide ribosomal RNA is filed under the name uncultured bacterium. Its description in RNAcentral is "bacterial SSU rRNA". It matches the Rfam family "Bacterial small subunit ribosomal RNA", at positions 355 to 796 of the family's 1533-position model. The record is from RNAcentral.